Molecule: ribosomal RNA, 207 nt
Filed under: uncultured Nitrosomonas sp.
Lineage: Bacteria; Pseudomonadati; Pseudomonadota; Betaproteobacteria; Nitrosomonadales; Nitrosomonadaceae
Description: partial 16S ribosomal RNA
Rfam family: Bacterial small subunit ribosomal RNA
Source: RNAcentral
GCUGCCCUUCCUACGGGAGGCAGCAGUGGGGAAUUUUGGACAAUGGGCGAAAGCCUGAUCCAGCCAUGCCGCGUGAGUGAAGAAGGCCUUCGGGUUGUAAAGCUCUUUUAGUCGGAAAGAAAGAGUCGCAAUGAAUAAUUGUGAUUUAUGACGGUACCGACAGAAAAAGCACCGGCUAACUACGUGCCAGCAGCCGCGGUAAUAAGG